Callithrix jacchus (white-tufted-ear marmoset) is the source of this 1226-nucleotide long non-coding RNA. RefSeq lists it as uncharacterized. NCBI's taxonomy places the organism in Eukaryota, Metazoa, Chordata, Mammalia, Primates, Cebidae. The record is from RefSeq and is a predicted model, not a curated record.
CCCACGGAAUGCAAGACAGCAGAGGAGGCAAGCUUAUUAGGACUAGGACCAGAAAAAACAACGGUGAGAGAGAGAGAGAGACACUGAAUUGGGUUUGGAAAAGAGUGGAGCGAUUUGGCUAGAAAAAGGGAGCCUAAAAGUAAGCAUUUAGGAGGUCUUGCCAAAGAUGAGUUUUACUAGUUCCUUCCUGUUAAAGGAUGCCCAUGAAGAUGCUAUAGAGAGAUGUGUGUUUGGAUAUUGAAUCAACCUGCAAACAUAGAGACAGACUUCAGUUUACAUGCCAGAGAGAGAUGUGUGUUCAUCUGAGCUUAAUCACUAACUAUGUGAUUAGUCAACAGUCGUCACCCAGUUCCCAUUCUCAAAUGAAGGCUCGUCAAACAAGGUUGGCGUUGCAUAAGUGAUUGCUUGUGGUCACUUGAGACUCUUUCAGAACACAUUUAAGAACAUCCUGGGGUUGUGGGCAAGAUGGCCAAAUAGGAACAACUCUGGUCUGAGGCUCCCAGCAAGAUCAACUCAGAAGCUUGAGGUGGUUUCUUGUGAUCCCGUGACCUGUGAACUAAGAAGACAAGUUCUUUCUCUCCUCCAUGUAUACUUCUACACCAAUAGUAAAGCAGAAACAAGAUAACUCUCACAAAGUCUCCAACUGUGAAAAGAGGAAAAGGGUAGACAUACAGCAAUCAGAGAUUCCCUCCAAUAAUGAAACCCUGCUGGGCAGGAACAGUGAAACCUCAAUUCAUGAAUGUUCAGCAAGUUUUAAGUCCCUGAUUCAACUCUUCAGGAGAAUCUACUGGGUCCAUUCUUCUCCGUAACUCUGAUGCUGCCCUCUGGGAUACUGUUUUUGUUUUUUUUUUUUUUUUUUUCUUCUUGUCCAUUAUCCUUCAACCAUAUCUGAAGUAAGUACAUUUUUCAGUGAGCAGACUUUCAGCAAACACUUCCAGAUAUCAAAACCAUUGCUGUUCAUUUUCUGCCUAUGUAAGUUUGGGGAACAAAGGGGUGUUUUGUAAUCACAGAGUUUUAUAAAACUGUAAUUAUUGUUUUACUGGAAGUGUGCUUCCGUUAAACUCAUAGCUUCUGAUCUGUUUCCACUCAAUUCCAUGAGUCAGUAAUCAGCUUGUAAAUUCUUUUUUUUUAGAUUUAAAACUUAUACCUCUUGCAUUGGUUUGUUUGUUUGUUUAUUAUCUUCUGCUUUCUAGAGCUCAUGUACUUCUCUCAAUCCAAUGGGAGCU